This 2900-nucleotide ribosomal RNA is filed under the name Klebsiella pneumoniae. Its description in RNAcentral is "23S ribosomal RNA". It matches the Rfam family "Bacterial large subunit ribosomal RNA". RNAcentral also lists the same sequence under 1 other name. The record is from RNAcentral. Lineage: Bacteria; Pseudomonadati; Pseudomonadota; Gammaproteobacteria; Enterobacterales; Enterobacteriaceae.
UUAAGCGACUAAGCGUACACGGUGGAUGCCCUGGCAGUCAGAGGCGAUGAAGGACGUGCUAAUCUGCGAAAAGCGUCGGUAAGGUGAUAUGAACCGUUAUAACCGGCGAUGUCCGAAUGGGGAAACCCAGUGCAAUUCGUUGCACUAUCGUUAACUGAAUACAUAGGUUAACGAGGCGAACCGGGGGAACUGAAACAUCUAAGUACCCCGAGGAAAAGAAAUCAACCGAGAUUCCCCCAGUAGCGGCGAGCGAACGGGGAGCAGCCCAGAGUCUGAAUCAGCUUGUGUGUUAGUGGAACGGUCUGGAAAGUCCGACGGUACAGGGUGAUAGUCCCGUACACCAAAAUGCACAGGCUGUGAACUCGAAGAGUAGGGCGGGACACGUGGUAUCCUGUCUGAAUAUGGGGGGACCAUCCUCCAAGGCUAAAUACUCCUGACUGACCGAUAGUGAACCAGUACCGUGAGGGAAAGGCGAAAAGAACCCCGGCGAGGGGAGUGAAAAAGAACCUGAAACCGUGUACGUACAAGCAGUGGGAGCACCUUCGGGUGUGACUGCGUACCUUUUGUAUAAUGGGUCAGCGACUUAUAUUCUGUAGCAAGGUUAACCGUAUAGGGGAGCCGCAGGGAAACCGAGUCUUAACUGGGCGUUAAGUUGCAGGGUAUAGACCCGAAACCCGGUGAUCUAGCCAUGGGCAGGUUGAAGGUUGGGUAACACUAACUGGAGGACCGAACCGACUAAUGUUGAAAAAUUAGCGGAUGACUUGUGGCUGGGGGUGAAAGGCCAAUCAAACCGGGAGAUAGCUGGUUCUCCCCGAAAGCUAUUUAGGUAGCGCCUCGUGAAUUCAUCUUCGGGGGUAGAGCACUGUUUCGGCUAGGGGGUCAUCCCGACUUACCAACCCGAUGCAAACUACGAAUACCGAAGAAUGUUAUCACGGGAGACACACGGCGGGUGCUAACGUCCGUCGUGAAGAGGGAAACAACCCAGACCGCCAGCUAAGGUCCCAAAGUCAUGGUUAAGUGGGAAACGAUGUGGGAAGGCACAGACAGCCAGGAUGUUGGCUUAGAAGCAGCCAUCAUUUAAAGAAAGCGUAAUAGCUCACUGGUCGAGUCGGCCUGCGCGGAAGAUGUAACGGGGCUAAACCAUGCACCGAAGCUGCGGCAGCGACACUAUGUGUUGUUGGGUAGGGGAGCGUUCUGUAAGCCUGCGAAGGUGUGCUGUGAGGCAUGCUGGAGGUAUCAGAAGUGCGAAUGCUGACAUAAGUAACGAUAAAGCGGGUGAAAAGCCCGCUCGCCGGAAGACCAAGGGUUCCUGUCCAACGUUAAUCGGGGCAGGGUGAGUCGACCCCUAAGGCGAGGCCGAAAGGCGUAGUCGAUGGGAAACAGGUUAAUAUUCCUGUACUUGGUGUUACUGCGAAGGGGGGACGGAGAAGGCUAUGUUAGCCGGGCGACGGUUGUCCCGGUUUAAGCAUGUAGGCUGGUUGUCCAGGCAAAUCCGGAUAAUCAAGGCUGAGGUGUGAUGACGAGGCACUACGGUGCUGAAGUAACAAAUGCCCUGCUUCCAGGAAAAGCCUCUAAGCAUCAGGUAACAUUAAAUCGUACCCCAAACCGACACAGGUGGUCAGGUAGAGAAUACCAAGGCGCUUGAGAGAACUCGGGUGAAGGAACUAGGCAAAAUGGUGCCGUAACUUCGGGAGAAGGCACGCUGGUGUGUAGGUGAAGCCCCUGCGGGUGGAGCUGAGACCAGUCGAAGAUACCAGCUGGCUGCAACUGUUUAUUAAAAACACAGCACUGUGCAAACACGAAAGUGGACGUAUACGGUGUGACGCCUGCCCGGUGCCGGAAGGUUAAUUGAUGGGGUUAUCCGUAAGGAGAAGCUCUUGAUCGAAGCCCCGGUAAACGGCGGCCGUAACUAUAACGGUCCUAAGGUAGCGAAAUUCCUUGUCGGGUAAGUUCCGACCUGCACGAAUGGCGUAAUGAUGGCCAGGCUGUCUCCACCCGAGACUCAGUGAAAUUGAACUCGCUGUGAAGAUGCAGUGUACCCGCGGCAAGACGGAAAGACCCCGUGAACCUUUACUAUAGCUUGACACUGAACAUUGAGCCUUGAUGUGUAGGAUAGGUGGGAGGCUUUGAAGCGUGGACGCCAGUCUGCGUGGAGCCAACCUUGAAAUACCACCCUUUAAUGUUUGAUGUUCUAACGUUGGCCCCUGACCGGGGUUGCGGACAGUGUCUGGUGGGUAGUUUGACUGGGGCGGUCUCCUCCCAAAGCGUAACGGAGGAGCACGAAGGUUAGCUAAUCCUGGUCGGACAUCAGGAGGUUAGUGCAAUGGCAUAAGCUAGCUUGACUGCGAGCGUGACGGCGCGAGCAGGUGCGAAAGCAGGUCAUAGUGAUCCGGUGGUUCUGAAUGGAAGGGCCAUCGCUCAACGGAUAAAAGGUACUCCGGGGAUAACAGGCUGAUACCGCCCAAGAGUUCAUAUCGACGGCGGUGUUUGGCACCUCGAUGUCGGCUCAUCACAUCCUGGGGCUGAAGUAGGUCCCAAGGGUAUGGCUGUUCGCCAUUUAAAGUGGUACGCGAGCUGGGUUUAGAACGUCGUGAGACAGUUCGGUCCCUAUCUGCCGUGGGCGCUGGAGAAUUGAGGGGGGCUGCUCCUAGUACGAGAGGACCGGAGUGGACGCAUCACUGGUGUUCGGGUUGUCAUGCCAAUGGCACUGCCCGGUAGCUAAAUGCGGAAGAGAUAAGUGCUGAAAGCAUCUAAGCACGAAACUUGCCCCGAGAUGAGUUCUCCCUGAGACUUUAAGUCUCCUGAAGGAACGUUAAAGACGAUGACGUUGAUAGGCCGGGUGUGUAAGCGCAGCGAUGCGUUGAGCUAACCGGUACUAAUGAACCGUGAGGCUUAACCUU